AACGAACGCUGGCGGCAUGCCUAACACAUGCAAGUCGAACGAGACCUUCGGGUCUAGUGGCGCACGGGUGCGUAACGCGUGGGAACCUGCCCUUAGGUUCGGAAUAACUCCCCGAAAGGGGUGCUAAUACCGGAUAAUGUCUUCGGACCAAAGAUUUAUCGCCUUUGGAUGGGCCCGCGUUGGAUUAGCUAGUUGGUAGGGUAAAAGCCUACCAAGGCGACGAUCCAUAGCUGGUCUGAGAGGAUGAUCAGCCACACUGGGACUGAGACACGGCCCAGACCUCUAAGGGGGGCAGAAGGGGGGAAAAUGGGACAAUGGGCGAAAGCCUGAUCCCGCAAGGCCGCGGGAGUGAGGAAGGCCUUAGGGUUGAAAAGCUCUUUUACCCGGGAUGAUAAUGACAGUACCGGGAAAAUAAGCCCCGGCAAACUCCGU
RNAcentral lists this ribosomal RNA (432 nucleotides) under uncultured bacterium. Its description in RNAcentral is "partial 16S ribosomal RNA". It matches the Rfam family "Bacterial small subunit ribosomal RNA", at positions 29 to 506 of the family's 1533-position model. The record is from RNAcentral.